This is a long non-coding RNA of Passer domesticus (house sparrow), 1009 nucleotides long. RefSeq lists it as uncharacterized. Lineage: Eukaryota; Metazoa; Chordata; Aves; Passeriformes; Passeridae. The record is from RefSeq and is a predicted model, not a curated record. The transcript has 4 exons.
UCCUUUUUCCUGUGAUGACUUUUUUGCCCAACAUGAGGUGACAGUGGAAACAGCAGUGCUUCCUGUUGCACCUGAGAAAGUAUAAUUAAAAUUUAAUUUGCUUUUGCUCCCCAGAAGAAACAUAUCCCAAAGGAAGGCAGGGCACCAUUGCCUUCUUCUCUGUGCCAACAACUGAGCAUUUUUAAAAGGUGGUGGUGCAAACAGUAUUUUGACUCCUCAUCUUGUGUUCUCUGAAUGGAAGAUGACUGCAUUGUGCACAGAUCCUUUUGCGGUGACUUUUUUCUUUUUGCUGAUAGGAGAGGCAGUCUUAGGUGCUUCUGAGGAUAAGCAGCAAACACCAGCUUCCUAAUCCUGUCAUAGUUUUUCAGGCAAAUAUUACAAUUUUGUCAUAAUAGGUAAUUUAGUUUUCUCAUUGCCAAGAGGAAUGAAUGCAACAAUGGAUUGUUUUUCUAGCAUUGCCUCUGCAAAUGUUUCUCUUAGUGAUUUUGGUACCAGCAACUGGAGCAAGUGCCAGUGCAUAUGGCAGUGUACCAACACCAGUAAAUAUCAAGUCAGGCUAGCUGCUUCUACUGUGGACAAAGCCAGGAGCUGAAUGUGGUAUGGCUGUUGCCAAACACAUGGAGACCAACAGAGGGCUUGUACUGUAACUUAUGCAACACAGUUGAGGCUGAUUUAAAGCUCAUCAGAUGACAUAGACUGAAUCUAGCUGCUACAUCUCCAGGCCCACAUUACCUAUAUAUGUGCAGAUUUUCAUGCCUGAGACAAAGGAAAGAACAGGAUGGCAAGCCCUUAAGUCACACAGAGUUCUGAUGAAGAUCUACUACAUGCUUUCCUUUAAAAUUGGCAUUCAGAAAGCACCACAAAGACUUCAGGAUUCUAAAUGUAUUUUUUUUGUUUUCUUUGAAAAACCUAGCAGAACACAGAGGUUUCCAAACAGAGUAAUUUAUAGAACAUGUUAAAAAAUGAAAUUGAAUGUAAAUGCCCUCUUGCUCAUUGUUCCAUCUCCUUC